CGGGGAUGCAUGAGCGAAGCCUGAUGCAGCGACGCCGCGUGGAGGAUGAAGGUUUUCGGAUUGUAAACUCCUUUUGCAGGGGAAGAUAAUGACGGUGCCCUGCGAAUAAGCCACGGCUAACUCUGUGCCAGCGGCCGCGGUAAUAAUACCG
This 151-nucleotide ribosomal RNA is filed under the name uncultured bacterium. Its description in RNAcentral is "partial 16S ribosomal RNA". It matches the Rfam family "Bacterial small subunit ribosomal RNA", at positions 355 to 528 of the family's 1533-position model. The record is from RNAcentral.